This 1422-nucleotide ribosomal RNA is filed under the name uncultured Arthrobacter sp. Its description in RNAcentral is "16S ribosomal RNA". It matches the Rfam family "Bacterial small subunit ribosomal RNA". Lineage: Bacteria; Bacillati; Actinomycetota; Actinomycetes; Micrococcales; Micrococcaceae. The record is from RNAcentral.
AGAGUUUGAUCCUGGCUCAGGAUGAACGCUGGCGGCGUGCCUAAUACAUGCAAGUCGAACGAUGAUGCUGGUGCUUGCACUGGUGGAUUAGUGGCGAACGGGUGAGUAACACGUGGGUAACCUGCCCCUGACUUCGGGAUAAGCCCGGGAAACUGGGUCUAAUACCGGAUAUGACUUCCUGCUGCAUGGCAGGGGGUGGAAAGAUUUAUCGGUUGGGGAUGGACUCGCGGCCUAUCAGCUUGUUGGUGAGGUAAUGGCUCACCAAGGCGACGACGGGUAGCCGGCCUGAGAGGGUGACCGGCCACACUGGGACUGAGACACGGUCCAGACUCCUACGGGAGGCAGCAGUAGGGAAUAUUGCACAAUGGGCGAAAGCCUGAUGCAGCGACGCCGCGUGAGGGAUGACGGCCUUCGGGUUGUAAACCUCUUUCAGUAGGGAAGAAGCCCCUUUUGGGGGUGACGGUACUUGCAGAAGAAGCGCCGGCUAACUACGUGCCAGCAGCCGCGGUAAUACGUAGGGCGCAACGUUAUCCGGAUUUAUUGGGCGUAAAGAGCUCGUAGGCGGUUUGUCGCGUCUGCCGUGAAAGUCCGAGGCUCAACCUCGGAUCUGCGGUGGGUACGGGCAGACUAGAGUGAUGUAGGGGAGACUGGAAUUCCUGGUGUAGCGGUGAAAUGCGCAGAUAUCAGGAGGAACACCGAUGGCGAAGGCAGGUCUCUGGGCAUUUACUGACGCUGAGGAGCGAAAGCAUGGGGAGCGAACAGGAUUAGAUACCCUGGUAGUCCAUGCCGUAAACGUUGGGCACUAGGUGUGGGGGACAUUCCACGUUUUCCGCGCCGUAGUAACGCAUUAAGUGCCCCGCCUGGGGAGUACGGCCGCAAGGCUAAAACUCAAAGGAAUUGACGGGGGCCCGCACAAGCGGCGGACAUGCGGAUUAAUUCGAUGCAACGCGAAGAACCUUACCAAGGCUUGACAUGUGCCAGACCGGAUCAGAGAUGGUCUUUCCCCUUUCGGGGCUGGUUCACAGGUGGUGCAUGGUUGUCGUCAGCUCGUGUCGUGAGAUGUUGGGUUAAGUCCCGCAACGAGCGCAACCCUCGUUCCAUGUUGCCAGCGGGUUAUGCCGGGGACUCAUGGGAGACUGCCGGGGUCAACUCGGAGGAAGGUGGGGAUGACGUCAAAUCAUCAUGCCCCUUAUGUCUUGGGCUUCACGCAUGCUACAAUGGCCGGUACAAUGGGUUGCGAUACUGUGAGGUGGAGCUAAUCCCUAAAAGCCGGUCUCAGUUCGGAUUGGGGUCUGCAACUCGACCCCAUGAAGUCGGAGUCGCUAGUAAUCGCAGAUCAGCAACGCUGCGGUGAAUACGUUCCCGGGCCUUGUACACACCGCCCGUCAAGUCACGAAAGUUGGUAACACCCUAAGUCGUAAC